ACCGAAAAGAAAUACAGGCUUCCUAAUAUUUGGUGAUUUAAUAGUAAUUUCCCACCUAUCAAAGAUGCAGUAUUUAGCCACGUGUAGCACUCCAGAGAAAGAGACCUGAUACACAAUAAGCUGGACUGUGUAGUUGCAGUGUGCUUUUAUGCUGUGGCUUUAGGACCCAUACUUAAAGAACGACCGAAAACAGGCAGCUAAUGUUCUUGAUGUAUAUAGUCACAAACGUUCUUCUUGUAAGUGAUUUUAUGAAACAAAUGGCAGAUUCUUUUGUGGCGUAGUUUACAGGACUCUGUGUCUGUGGCCUUGGUACAUAAUUCACUGAUAAACAAAAGUUUGUUUCCUCUUUACUUUAGAUAUAUUUUUCUCCUUGCUGCUGCCAUUCCUUAUAUUAAGCUAACAAAUCCUCACAUGCGGUAUCCUUUCUGGAAGGGAGGUAUUUCCUAAAUCUGUUCAUUAUCUGUAAUCAAGCCUGUCUAUAAAGAAAUAAGAUCAGGUAAAGCUCUAUUCCCUGCUUUAAUAUAGCAAACGCUGGAAGAAAUUACCUGGAACAGCAGAAUAAUUUUACAGCUUUCAAGGUUUAAUGUGAACACUUCAGUUUUUACCUUUAUAAACAGGCUGUCAAGUCUGCUUAUGUCAAUCUGUUAUAAAAUAAGCCUACUCAUAUGAAAUUCACAGUUCUCAGUCACUCAAGAUGUUUUGGAGCCAGUUUAAUUUUAGCAAUGGCAACAACCCUGUAGCUGGUUGAGGUCUCUGUGAAUCUUCAUCAGUAGAUUUAGAGCGAGGGUGGCAGUGACUAAAGUUGUGCUCUCUUUCCUUAAAAAGUUUUAUCGUUAUAGUAUAAAGACUACCUUUUAAUAAGAUUAACGGUAGUAAGAUUUCCAAUGCUCCAUUAUUAGAGCCAUCUUAAAAAAUCUGUCUGUGGCUGACUGAAAUAGUCUGAAACAGUUAGAAGGUAUCUAUGCUACAGAAAUUUGCUUUUAACUGUCUGAAUUAGAAACUACUGUGAAAAAAUUAAGAGGCUAUAGUUAGGUUAUGUGUAAUGGUGCUGGAAUAGUUCCAGUCUCCUCGUGUUGGUGUUAAGAGAUCUCUACUCCCCACUUAGUCUAGUGAAAUUAUAGCUACGUAAAGGAAUUUUUUUAUAACAGAAAAUCUUAUCAGUGCUCAGAUUUACCAUUUUGCCAUCUUAAUUAGCUGUCAUCUCGUACACGAAGAACACAUCACCUAUGGUAUGUGAAGAUUUGGGUUAUUUUAGUAGGUAUUUAGCAUCUUUUGUGAGACUUUGUGGAAGCACACAAUAUAAGGGUGUUGUGUUUAAGGGUAAGUAUCUUAGCAUCACUUUAAAAACUUGCCUUGUUCUUUAACAUGCAGAUUUCCUUCAGAGUUCAUAGACUGGUUUACAGAGGAAUAAGCAAAAAGAAGGGUAGCCAUAUCAACAGCACCUUUAGAGGUACAUCUGGAGGUAUUCUAUACGUAAUAAAAUCUGGGUGUAGUUCAGUUUCUGAUAGGGUACUGUGAUAACACUGAGCGUCUAUUCAUAAUUUGAUGCCAGUGGUGCUUUUAAUAUGGUCUCUUCUAUAGGGCUGGAACAUGCCAGAUUUUCCAGCAGGCUAAGCUCUAUGUAACUGUUCUGUUGCACGUUUCUCAUAAAGUAUGUAGAGAAAGUCAGAUAUUUUUUUAAUAAAGGCCAAUUGUUGUAAUCAGUUGCUCUAUAUUUGAAUGUCUGCUAACUUAUAAACAUUUAUAGUAGACUGAACUUUAGAAUGCUGAUUUCAACAAACAAAAUAAAGAAGUUCUUUUUUGUUGGAAGAUUGAUUUUUUUUUUUUUUUUUUUGGUUGGUUUAAAAAAUUGUUUUAAAAAUUCACAGAUUGUAAUAGAGAUCCUGAGUUAGCCUUCUUUUGAGCAUGCAUUUGUGCAAGUACUUGACAUUGAUAAUUUUACAGACUUGCCAGAAAAUAGAGUAGGAAAUUAUGCUUAGUGUUCAGGAAUUUGGUACUGUUGCAUUUUGAGAAGAGUAACAUCUAAAAUGACACAAACUUCUGCCUUUUAUUUCUGCUGUGUUCAUAGAUUCCAGAAGGACUUAAUGUAUGGACUUCAAGUCACGGAGGUAGCAGUAGAGAAGUGCUGCUUUAUGGUGUUAUUGUAUGUAUGUGCUGAGGUAGCUGGUGUCAUCUGGGAUGUUUGGAGGGAGACCUAGCAGAGUUUAGUGGGUGUCAUCGGGCAGUGACACCAAUGAGCUGUGGGAUUUAGGCCCCUUUUUGAAAAUUGAGAUUUUAAGGACUUUGAGACAAAAGAUGCAGAAGUGAAGUUUGAAGUGUAGCAUGUUGUUUCCAUUCUGAAAAGUGUUUUCCUUGUGUGUACCUGGAUCAGCCUUGGAGUCUCUUUCACUCUAGCUCUUUUUAUAUUGCAUCGUAAAGACUGUCCUGUCUGGUGUAGGCUUGUUGCAUUGCUCCCACCGCACAAGUUUAUUUUGAGAUGUUGUUCCAGACAAGAUGCAAGAUCAACUUUUAAAGAUUGUGCAGUCACUGCCUGCUGGGGAGGUUGACUGCCUCCCCUGCCACUAAGAGGAAAGUACAGGCCCAGGUUCAAGCAGAUGAAGUGACUUAUAUGUCUACUCUUUCUGCAUGAGGAGUCCUUUCCUGUGCCCUACGCACGUGUGUCCUUCUGUUUGCAACACCGAGAAGGUUCCCACCAAACCUCCAAGGGAUGCAUCAGGCAGGCCAGCUACACAGUCGACAGACCUUACUGAAAUGGUAAACUUUUCACUGUGAUGGAAUGAGGACUGGGCUAUAGGAACAACCUGGAGCUGCUGUGAAGUUUAGUAGAGCAGCAGACAGCAGACAAAUAUUUUAAAGGGCUGUUGUGGUCAUAGAUUUCAUAUUCUGCUUACUAUCCUUACUGUAUCACAUUUUGAGUUUCUUAUGUAGCUCUCAAAAUGAACUAAUACAUAUGCAUUGAAAUUCAGCAUGUGUACUAUCCUCUAGAAAUAAAUCAAGAUCAACCUGUAAA
Molecule: long non-coding RNA, 3010 nt
Organism: Tyto alba (common barn owl)
Lineage: Eukaryota; Metazoa; Chordata; Aves; Strigiformes; Tytonidae
Exons: 2
Source: RefSeq, a predicted model, not a curated record